AUACGGAGGGUGCAAGCGUUAUUCGGAAUCACUGGGCGUAAAGGACGCGUAGGCGGGUUGGCAAGUCAGAUGUGAAAUCCUACAGCUUAACUGUAGAACUGCAUUUGAAACUGCUAACCUAGAGUAUGGGAGGGGGAGAUGGAAUUAGCGGUGUAGGGGUAAAAUCCGUAGAUAUCACUAGGAAUACCGAAAGCGAAGGCGAUCUCCUGGAACAUAACUGACGCUAAGGCGUGAAAGCGUGGGGAGCAAACAGGAUUAGAAACCCGAGUAGUCC
Molecule: ribosomal RNA, 274 nt
Filed under: uncultured bacterium
Lineage: Bacteria
Description: partial 16S ribosomal RNA
Rfam family: Bacterial small subunit ribosomal RNA
Source: RNAcentral